GAUGAAGAACGCAGCGAAAUGCGAUAAGUAAUGUGAAUUGCAGAAUUCAGUGAAUCAUCGAAUCUUUGAACGCACAUUGCGCCCGCCAGUAUUCUGGCGGGCAUGCCUGUCUGAGCGUCAUUUCAACCCUCAUGCCCCUAGGGCGUGGUGUUGGGGAUCGGCCAAAGCCCGCGAGGGACGGCCGGCCCCUAAAUCUAGUGGCGGACCCGUCGUGGCCUCCUCUGCGAAGUAGUGAUAUUCCGCAUCGGAGAGCGAUGAGCCCCUGCCGUUAAACCCCCAACUUUCCAAGGGUGACCUCAGAUCAGGUAGGAAUACCCGCUGAACUUAAGCAUAUCAAUAAGCGGAGGA
RNAcentral lists this unclassified non-coding RNA (348 nucleotides) under soil metagenome. RNAcentral describes it as "partial contains 5.8S ribosomal RNA, internal transcribed spacer 2, and large subunit ribosomal RNA". The stretch from base 1 to 120 matches the Rfam family "5.8S ribosomal RNA", at positions 35 to 154 of the family's 154-position model. The record is from RNAcentral.